This 465-nucleotide ribosomal RNA is filed under the name uncultured bacterium. RNAcentral's name for it is "partial 16S ribosomal RNA". It matches the Rfam family "Bacterial small subunit ribosomal RNA", at positions 28 to 507 of the family's 1533-position model. The record is from RNAcentral.
GACGAACGCUGGCGGCGUGCUUAACACGUGCAAGUCGUACGGUAAGGCCCUUUCGGGGGUACACGAGUGGCGAACGGGGGAGUAACACGUGAGUAACCUGCCCACAACUUUGGGAUAACGCUAGGAAACUGGGGCUAAUACUGGAUAUGUGCCCCUGCCGCAUGGCGGGGGUUGGAAAGCUCCGGCGGUUGUGGAUGGACUCGCGGCCUAUCAGCUUGUUGGUGGGGUAGUGGCCUACCAAGGCGGCGACGGGUAGCCGGCCUGGGAGGGUGACCGGCCACAUUGGGACUGAGAUACGGCCCAGACUCCUACGGGAGGCAGCAGGGGGGAAUAUUGCACAAUGGGCGCAAGCCUGAUGCAGCAACGCCGCGUGCGGGAUGACGGCCUUCGGGUUGUAAACCGCUUUCAGCAGGGACGAAGCUUUUUGUGACGGUACCUGCAGAAGAAGCACCGGCUAACUACGUG